RNAcentral lists this unclassified non-coding RNA (313 nucleotides) under Mycolicibacterium monacense. Its description in RNAcentral is "partial 16S-23S ribosomal RNA intergenic spacer". Lineage: Bacteria; Bacillati; Actinomycetota; Actinomycetes; Mycobacteriales; Mycobacteriaceae. The record is from RNAcentral.
AAGGAGCACCACGAGACUUGGCCCCGCCCACAUCGUGUGGGGGUUCGGUGAGUUGAGCGAUUCGUGAAGAUGGCCUGUCUCUGUAGUGGGGGCGGGUCUGGUGCACAACAAACGUGUGUUGGCCGGAGGGAAACCGGUUGAUGCGAAGGAUUGCCAGACACACUGUUGGGUCCUGAGGCAACACCCCCGCGGGCUCACUCCCUUGUGGGGGUGGGUGCCGGCUCUCGAGCGUUGGUUCGGGGGUUUGUGUUGCUGCCCUGCUUUGGUGGUGGGGUGUGGUGUUUGAUUUGUGGAUAGAGGUUGCGAGCAUCUA